RNAcentral lists this ribosomal RNA (516 nucleotides) under uncultured bacterium. RNAcentral describes it as "partial 16S ribosomal RNA". It matches the Rfam family "Bacterial small subunit ribosomal RNA", at positions 28 to 523 of the family's 1533-position model. The record is from RNAcentral.
GAUGAACGCUGGCGGCGUGCCUAAUACAUGCAAGUCGAACGCAUUGAGAGAAGUGCUUGCACUUUUCAAUUUGAGUGGCGAACGGGUGAGUAACACGUGGGCAACCUACCUGAUAGCGGGGGAUAACGAGUGGAAACAUUCGCUAAUACCGCAUAACAAUAGAGUAGGCAUCUUCUUUAUUUAAAAGGCGCUUUCAAGCGUCACUAUCAGAUGGGCCCGCGGUGCAUUAGUUAGUUGGUGGGGUGAAGGCCUACCAAGACGAUGAUGCAUAGCCGAGGUGAGAGAAUGAUCGGCCACAUUGGGACUGAGACACGGCCCAAACUCCGACGGGAGGCUGCAGUAGGGAAUCUUCCACAAUGGACGAAAGUCUGAUGGAGCAACGCCGCGUGUGUGAUGAAGGCUUUCGGGUCGUAAAGCACUGUUGUAUGGGAAGAAAUGCUAGGCUAGGAAAUGAGCUUAGUUUGACGGUACCAUACCAGAAAGGGACGGCUAAAUACGUGCCAGCCGCCGCGGUAA